Molecule: transfer RNA, 85 nt
Filed under: Felis catus (domestic cat)
Lineage: Eukaryota; Metazoa; Chordata; Mammalia; Carnivora; Felidae
Rfam family: tRNA
About the family: Transfer RNA (tRNA) molecules are approximately 80 nucleotides in length.
Source: Rfam by way of RNAcentral
GCCUGGGUGGCUCAGUCGGUUGAGCGUCCGACUUCGGCUCAGGUCAUGAUCUCGCGGUUCGUGAGUUCGAGCCCCACAUCGGGCU